Molecule: unclassified non-coding RNA, 286 nt
Organism: Sinocyclocheilus anshuiensis
Lineage: Eukaryota; Metazoa; Chordata; Actinopteri; Cypriniformes; Cyprinidae
Source: Ensembl
AGAAGCUUUCAAGAGGUCACGAAAACUGCUGGAUCUGCAUCAUAUUUCGCUGCCAGUUUCAUACUCGAAGGCCAUCCCUUAACCAAUUAACCGAAAUCCGUCUUUAUUUGUCAAACGUUUAGGCCUCGGUGUAGCCGGAAGCAUUGGCCAAGGAGCAGGACGUGGCUAAGCAGAGGCAGUUCUCAUUAAAUUGAUGAGCUGAGAUCUGGUCCUGCUUCACCAUCUGGAAUUGUAGUCUGGGGUUCUGCUGAAAGCUGCUGACCCGGGAUUCAACUCUUCAACUCAG